Long non-coding RNA from Phalaenopsis equestris, 1710 nucleotides. RefSeq lists it as uncharacterized. The transcript is spliced from 6 exons. NCBI's taxonomy places the organism in Eukaryota, Viridiplantae, Streptophyta, Magnoliopsida, Asparagales, Orchidaceae. The record is from RefSeq and is a predicted model, not a curated record.
AUAUGAAGUACAGCUUCUUCCCAUGCAACGCAUUUGCACUGCUUGCGGCUAUGGCCAUGGAAUGUUUAAAGGAGUAUUCCUCAAAGCUCAUCAGCCUGUUCUUCGUUGUCCGUUCGACCUGGAAGAAGCCAGUUUUUUAAAUCAUGGAUUUAACUAAUAAUCUUAACUAUUCGACAAUAAUGUCUAUAAAUCUCACUUUCCAAGUCUUUUAGGUAUACCUCUGUCUUUCUUAACAUAUGUUGAAUCUAAAACAUCUGCUCUCUUAACUGAAUCAUCAGAUGGUUGAUGCUUAAUGUGACCAAACAAUUUAAAACUCUAAUCUUAUUCGUCAUUGUAGUUGCACCAACCCUAUCACGAAUAUACUCAUUUAGCAUUUUGUGUGUAAGUGUCAAGUCGCUCAUCCACCCAAGCAUUCUCAGCAUUACAUGUUUCAUCUUAUAAAAAAUAAUUAUUUAUAAUAAAUAAAUAAAUAAAGUAUAAUAAGGAACAACAUUACUAUUACAGAAAUCGCUUUAUUCUAUAAAUAUGAAAUUCAAAUCUGCAAGAAGAACUUUUGGUUGACUUUUUGUGUGAGUAAUUGGGUGUGCUUCAAGGUCGAAAGGUCAACGAAAAAGAGGUGCAUGAGAUGCCAAGGAAGAGCUCGUUCUAUUACAGAUCAGUCUAUAUCGCCCUGAUACAUAAUUAAUUUAAAGAUUCAAUUCUCACAAGAUGCUCGUCACCUACAUCACAGAGAUUAUCAUGAGUAGCUAUGAUCAGCCCUUUUUCUUAUGAAAGCAGAUCCCUACAACCACCCAGGACUUGUGGUUCAGGGAGUUCAUGGUUCUUCACCUGACUCCCAAAGCACCAUUAUCAUAUCUGUUGAAUCUUCAAGAUUUGGGGCAGUCAUCGCCUUAGAGACACGUCCUCAAGCAGCCUACCUGGAUCGGUGAGGAGAUCUUGGGUCAGUUGGUUGUAGCCUAGGCUCUCCUGCUUAUGAGAGGAAGAGGAAGACGAAUCGAGUGAAUCGGUCGACUGAGAGGGCCAGGCGUGUUGUGCUCCAUAUUGGCGGAUCAUCUCCCCUUACAGAGCACUAUAGGAGGCAAAGGAGUUUAGUCAUGAGCCCUUUGUUGUGGAGUUACACGUUCAAACUCAUCGGCGCCCGGGGACGCACCAGUGGGUCUCACAGCAUUCCCGGCAGGUUGUUGAGGACUUUGAGCAGCUCUGGGAGAGACACUUGGCCACUCAGACCCAGAAUUUCGCUAGCAGCACUGGUAGUCAAUCUACUACUGUACAAUCUGAGCACGAGCUUAGAACUCUGGUGAAGGGGAAGAAGAAUGGGAGGAUUUAUAGCCUUGAUGCGAAGGGCAUAAUCCCUGUGGCCCAUUAUUGAGUUCCUCGAGCUCCUCACAGCCAUAUUAGGAGUGUUGGGCAAAUUGUUGCAAUGAACAAAGAGCUCGGUCAGUUGCGUGAAAAGAUUAUAGAAGUUCAACAUCGGGUUAAGGACUCUAUAGUGUGCAUGGCGAAGGCUUUAGCAGAUUGUCGGACCAAGUGGUUGGUGAUAGCCAUAGAGGAGGAGGACGACAACGACGACGAGCGAGAUGAUGAGUAGUUUUGUUUCAUGUUUUCUUUUAUAUGCCUGCAUUAAUUUGAAUGUUUACUGUAGAACUUUUGGCUAAUUUUAUUAUUCUUAUAUAGGUCAAUUUGUGACAGUAUCUUAAUUUUCAUUAUUGA